UUUGGAUACUGAUUGGCUUGAGUGCGGAAGAGGUAAGUGGAAUUCCCAGUGUAGCGGUGAAAUGCGUAGAGAUUGGGAGGAACACCAGUGGCGAAGGCGACUUACUGGGCCGUAACUGACGCUGAGGCGCGAAAGCGUGGGGAGCGAACAGGAUUAGAUACCCUGGUAGUCCACGCGGUAAACGAUGAAUGCUAGGUGUUGCGGGUAUCGACCCCUGCAGUGCCGGAGUAAACACAAUAAGCAUUCCGCCUGGGGAGUACGGCCGCAAGGUUGAAACUCAAAGGAAUUGACGGGGGCCCGCACAAGCAGCGGAGCAUGUUGUUUAAUUCGAAGCAACGCGAAGAACCUUACCAGGUCUUGACAUCGAGGUAAAGCCAUAGAGAUAUGGUGUGAGUUCGCUCGACCGAAGACAGGUGGUGCAUGGUUGUCGUCAGCUCGUGUCGUGAGAUGUUGGGUUAAGUCCCGCAACGAGCGCAACCCUUAUGGUCAGUUACUAACGGUUAGGCCGAGGACUCUGACAAGACUGCCGGGGACAACUCGGAGGAAGGUGGGGACGACGUCAAAUCAUCAUGCCCCUUAUGACCUGGGCUACAAACGUGCUACAAUGGUGACUACAAAGAGAAGCGAGACCGUGAGGUGGAGCGGAUCUCAAAAAAGUCAUCUCAGUUCGGAUUGUGGGCUGCAACCCGCCCACAUGAAGUUGGAGUUGCUAGUAAUCGCGAAUCAGCAUGUCGCGAUGAAUACGUUCCCGGGCCUUGUACACAC
Molecule: ribosomal RNA, 765 nt
Filed under: uncultured bacterium
Lineage: Bacteria
Description: bacterial SSU rRNA
Rfam family: Bacterial small subunit ribosomal RNA
Source: RNAcentral